This 93-nucleotide transfer RNA is filed under the name Burkholderia plantarii. RNAcentral's name for it is "tRNA-Gly". Lineage: Bacteria; Pseudomonadati; Pseudomonadota; Betaproteobacteria; Burkholderiales; Burkholderiaceae. The record is from RNAcentral.
GCGAUCAUCAGCCAGGCGGUGCGCUGGUAUUUCCGCUUCCAGCUGAGCCUACGCGACAUUGAGGAAUUGCUGUUCGAGCGCGGCGUGAGCGUC